GUUUAGAUGGCAGAGCCAGGUAAUUGCAAAAGACCUAAGUCCUUUCCCUCAGAGGUUCAACUCCUCUUCUUAAC
RNAcentral lists this transfer RNA (74 nucleotides) under Echinotriton chinhaiensis (Chinhai spiny newt). RNAcentral describes it as "tRNA-Leu". It matches the Rfam family "tRNA". From Rfam's summary of the family: Transfer RNA (tRNA) molecules are approximately 80 nucleotides in length. The record is from RNAcentral. Lineage: Eukaryota; Metazoa; Chordata; Amphibia; Caudata; Salamandridae.